RNAcentral lists this long non-coding RNA (618 nucleotides) under Androctonus crassicauda. The record is from RNAcentral. Lineage: Eukaryota; Metazoa; Arthropoda; Arachnida; Scorpiones; Buthidae.
GUCACUCUACACCAUGUCGGAAUUCAAUUAGGAGUGACAUUUUAGAAUGUGUGACUACUUGGUCGAUCGUUCCGAUUAGUUCGAUGUACUCUAGCCUCCACAAUAAAGUAACAACAAUGGAUAAUGAAAAAAAAAUGAUGUAGAGAAUCGGGUGACACCCGAGUAGUGCGAAAUUGAGAAGAAAAUAAUGUUAGAGGGAAAACAAAAAAGGAUAAAAGGAAAAUAAUAGAGAAUCGCUAAAAAGCUAGGCAAACGGACUAGUGUCCGGGAGUCGCUCCAGAGAAGGAGGAAAGUCGCUCAAAAAAACAAUGUCACCGAACGUACCGGAGAAAUGCUCAUUAACUACGACGACAAGACGGACAUUUACCAACUACAAGGUUUCCCAAGUUACUUGAAGUCUGAGUGCGACAAAUUACGUCGAACUCAAUCGUACAACCAGAGUAGUUGGAAGUUUAAUAUUAAUCAUUUCCUUAGUGUUCUGUGUUUGAAGUGUAUGAACUAUACUUGUAAUCUAGAACUAAAGACUAACGUCUCUGUGCCACUCCCAAAGGAAAGGAGAAAGAUAAGGGAAGGUUCAUCUUCAGUCAUUAGUGCAUCAGGUAUUUGUCCUCCAAUGAA